AGAGUUUGAUCCUGGCUCAGGACGAACGCUGGCGGCGUGCUUAACACAUGCAAGUCGAACGGUGAUCUUGAGAGCUUGCUCUUGGGUGAUCAGUGGCGAACGGGUGAGUAACACGUGAGCAACCUGCCCCAGACUCUGGAAUAACCCCGGGAAACCGGAGCUAAUACCGGAUACGACACUGGCCCGCAUGGGUAUGGUGUGGAAAGUUUUUCGGUCUGGGAUGGGCUCGCGGCCUAUCAGCUUGUUGGUGAGGUAGUGGCUCACCAAGGCGACGACGGGUAGCCGGCCUGAGAGGGCGACCGGCCACACUGGGACUGAGACACGGCCCAGACUCCUACGGGAGGCAGCAGUGGGGAAUAUUGCACAAUGGGCGCAAGCCUGAUGCAGCGACGCCGCGUGAGGGAUGACGGCCUUCGGGUUGUAAACCUCUUUCAGCAGGGAAGAAGCGCAAGUGACGGUACCUGCAGAAGAAGCACCGGCUAACUACGUGCCAGCAGCCGCGGUA
Molecule: ribosomal RNA, 505 nt
Filed under: uncultured Actinomycetes bacterium
Lineage: Bacteria; Bacillati; Actinomycetota; Actinomycetes
Description: bacterial SSU rRNA
Rfam family: Bacterial small subunit ribosomal RNA
Source: RNAcentral